This 349-nucleotide unclassified non-coding RNA is filed under the name uncultured bacterium. Its description in RNAcentral is "contains 16S-23S intergenic spacer region". The record is from RNAcentral.
UCACUACUUGCGUAGGCAGUCUGGCUAGAGUCCCCACCAUAACGUGCUGGUAACUAACCACAGGGGUUGCGCUCGUUGCGCCACUUAAGGCAACACCUCACGGUACGAGCUGACGACAGCCAUGCAGCACCUUCCCGGCUGCCCCGAAGGGAAGGCCCGUUUCGGGGCCGGUCAGCCGGGAUUUAGCCCGGGUAAGGUUCUUCGCGUUGCAUCGAAUUAAGCCACAUGCUCCGCCGCUUGUGCGGGCCCCCGUCAAUUCCUUUGAGUUUUAGCCUUGCGGCCGUACUCCCCAGGCGGGGUGCUUAAUGCGUUAGCGUCGGCACGGAGGAAGGUGGGGAUGACGUAUGCG